Molecule: small nuclear RNA, 101 nt
Organism: Monodelphis domestica (gray short-tailed opossum)
Lineage: Eukaryota; Metazoa; Chordata; Mammalia; Didelphimorphia; Didelphidae
Source: Ensembl
GUGCUUGCAUCAGCAGCACAUAUACUAAAACUGGAAUGAUACAGAGAUUAGCAUGGCCCCUGUGCAAGGAUGACAUGCAAAUUCAUGAAGUGUUCCAUUUU